This is a long non-coding RNA of Raphanus sativus (radish), 1394 nucleotides long. RefSeq lists it as uncharacterized. The transcript has 7 exons. NCBI's taxonomy places the organism in Eukaryota, Viridiplantae, Streptophyta, Magnoliopsida, Brassicales, Brassicaceae. The record is from RefSeq and is a predicted model, not a curated record.
UCAUCUUUUCUGGGUUUUACAGUUCUGUCUGGUUUAUGAAGCUACCGUUGACAAACUUUGUCUUUUUAUAUUGCAGGAGAAAGCCAUGGCAGAAGCAAAUGAAGCUAGAGUGUCAGGGAACAGUUUGUUCGUGAAUGGCUUUCGAAGAGGCGUUUGUAAAGAUUUAAAGUAUAUGCUUGUUUCAGAGCUUGUUCAGGAGUUUCCUGAAUCCAUAGAGCUUGGAUCCAUAUGCUGUUUAAACAAAGGGUAAAUAUGAAGAAACGGUUAAGGAAUGCACAAGAGCACUAGAGCUAAAUCCUACUUACACUAUGGCCAUGAGAGGGAAGGAAAUGAAUACGCUUUGCGAGGGAUAGAUGCAUGGGGUCUUGAUAUUCUGAUCAUUGACCACUAUGGAAAUUUGAUCGUUCAAGCUCUGCUUAGAAGGCUUAAGAAACUCAACCCAACUCUUUUCUUUUUCACUGUCUCAAACAUUUUUGACAAGGCCGCUGAACAUGAAAAACAUGAGUUCGCAGUUCAUGUGCUGCGUGAGUGCAUGUUACAAGUGCAACAAUUGCCUGGCAUGUGUUCUCUAAUGCAAUAUAAUGACUAGGGAAGAUCAAAUGCACAUCUAAUUUCACUCGCUUGAUUAGAGGCGAUUUGUUCAUGAGAUUGAUGAGGACUUGUGAUGAUGUUAAGCCAUUGUUUGCUUUCGUUACAACAGAGAAAGUUCCAUUCCAAGCUCUUCAGCCUCUACUAUGUACCAUCUCAAACAACAUUCUCCAAGGAACCGUGUUGUCCACGCCUUCAUGUCCUUUUCCUCUGCUUUGUCAGAACCCGUUGUUGGACAUCUCCAAGGCAACAUUUUUCAACUCGCUUCCUCUCCUAACUCUAUGUUCGUUGUUCAGAAGAUCUUCAAAUCCGGGAGUGCUCUGAUGGUUAGACGCGUGUACAGAGAGAUUGUGAACGUUCCUGGUGCCCUUGAAUCGUCGAUGACACAUCCAUAUGGCCACUACGUCGUGCAAGACAUGCUAAGACGAUUCUAUACACUCCUCCCAUACAUCUUCAACACCAUUGUUGCUGCUGUGCUUGCCAGAGAGGAGGAGCUUCAAAGCAACAUCUACGGUGUUCACGUCUUGCGUGGAGUCAAGCUUCUUAUGAGAACUAGAAGAACUUUCUAAAUUUCCAAAAAGUAUCAAGGAAAUUAAGUUGGCUGGAUAUAGGUACAUGCAUAAUUCUACAGAAGAAAGAAGAAGAAGAUAUAUCUGCAAGAAAUAAAUAAAUAGUUGUGUAAAAACAUUUUGUGUAAAACAUUUCUCCUGUUCAUAUAUGUUUUCUUUUGAAGUUGUAAAGGAUUGUUGUAUAUGCGCACAUAGCUUGCUGAAUGGUUUUAAGUGCUUCAAUUUUUUUUGAUGGAA